Molecule: ribosomal RNA, 402 nt
Filed under: uncultured bacterium
Lineage: Bacteria
Description: bacterial SSU rRNA
Rfam family: Bacterial small subunit ribosomal RNA
Source: RNAcentral
AGGGAAUAUUGCAAAAUGGGCGAAAGCCCGAUGCAGCAACGCCGCGUGGGCGAUGAAGGCCUUCGGGUCGUAAAGCCCUUUUUGAGGGGAUGAGGAAGGACAGUACCCUCAGAAUAAGCCUCGGCUAACUACGUGCCAGCAGCCGCGGUAAAACGUAGGAGGCGAGCGUUAUCCGGAUUUACUGGGCGUAAAGCGCGUGCAGGCGGAUUGGAGAGUUGGAUGUGAAAGCUCCCGGCUUAACUGGGAGAGGUCGUUCAAUACUUCCAGUCUUGAGUGCAGUAGAGGGAAGUGGAAUUCCGGGUGUAGUGGUGAAAUGCGUAGAUAUCCGGAGGAACACCAGUGGCGAAAGCGGUCUCUUGGUCCGACACUGACGCUGAGGCGCGAAAGCGUGGGGAGCAAACA